AGUGAACGCUGGCGGUAGGCCUAACACAUGCAAGUCGAACGGCAGCACAGUAAGAGCUUGCUCUUACGGGUGGCGAGUGGCGGACGGGUGAGGAAUACAUCGGAAUCUACUUUUUCGUGGGGGAUAACGUAGGGAAACUUACGCUAAUACCGCAUACGACCUACGGGUGAAAGCAGGGGAUCUUCGGACCUUGCGCGAUUGAAUGAGCCGAUGUCGGAUUAGCUAGUUGGCGGGGUAAAGGCCCACCAAGGCGACGAUCCGUAGCUGGUCUGAGAGGAUGAUCAGCCACACUGGAACUGAGACACGGUCCAGACUCCUACGGGAGGCAGCAGUGGGGAAUAUUGGACAAUGGGCGCAAGCCUGAUCCAGCCAUACCGCGUGGGUGAAGAAGGCCUUCGGGUUGUAAAGCCCUUUUGUUGGGAAAGAAAAGCAGCAGGUUAAUACCCCGCUGUUCUGACGGUACCCAAAGUAUAAGCACCGGCUAACUUCGCG
Molecule: ribosomal RNA, 492 nt
Filed under: uncultured bacterium
Lineage: Bacteria
Description: partial 16S ribosomal RNA
Rfam family: Bacterial small subunit ribosomal RNA
Source: RNAcentral